CCGAGAUGUAAAUUUUAUAUAAUAAAAUGCGAAUUUUCUCUUUUUGACUUGAAGCCUUGUCUGUUACUUUCUUCAGGAAUGUCAUCACAAAUAGAUUUGUCUGGGAGCUUGAUGAGUAAGAAAAGCUAUCUGAAAGUAGGCAAGGUUCCAUUUGCAUUUCACUUGUCUCCAUGAAUGUGUGCAAAUUCUUCAACCUCUUCCUUCCCAAGAGGAAAUUCAGACUUUUUAAAGAUAAGCAUCUGAUUAUCUAUUUUCUUUAAAAAUAGCAUUUUAGAUAUUUCCUGUCCUUAAGAUGUUGCUGUUGAGCAGAUAACAACUUGAACCGUGCUAUGUUAGAACGGAUGCUGAAAACUAAAUGAGCAAGGUUAGUGCUGACAUCUACUGUUAGAACUUGAGGAUGUGCUACUUUGUCACAAGCAGUUCCCUCCUAAGGAGACGGGAGUUGUGUAGCACUAGUUGCGGGUGCAGGGGGUCAGAGUGACUGGAGGAGAGAAUCACCCAAAGCUCCAUCAUCCUGAAGAAGGGCGCAAGGGAAUGACUUCGCGCUUCUUGAGAUAAACAUGUUGAAGAAUCUGGAGCAGAAGAUAAAUUAAUGUCAAGAGUUUAAUUUUCAGACCCAGCCAGGGACCUAAUACGAUCAAGAAAAACAUUCUUCUCCCCUAUGCUCUCAUCUAGAAGAGAAGGAAAUGGAGGCUCAGAAUGCUGAUCUGAGUUGCCUGAGAUCCCACUGCUAGAAAUUGCAGCGAGAGACUGGAACGCUGGUCCCCUCUGGUUCCAAGUCCAGAUAGAAAUGAUUGAAGUUGUGGUAAACGUAAACAAGACAGAGCCAGCAGAUAAGCAGCGGCACCCCAACAGAAGUAAGGAGUGGAGUGACAUCUGGAGGAGACAGGAAGAAAGGAGUGUGAAAGAGUUGGGAGUUUAAAAAUACUGACCAAACUCCAACCUGUAUAUUCAGGACUGGAGCGAGAACCAGGAUGGAGAAAAAUUUUAAGGACUUUGUGUAAAGAAGGUCUUGCUUCCCUCCCGAGGCCAGCGAGAGAUGGUGAAGCAAGCAAGGAUGGAGCAACACCCCAAAGCUGUGACACGCAGGCCCCACCAGCGACUGGCCUUGGGCCCCUUCACCCCCGUCACUCCCUCCACCACCUUCCCAGGCUCUCCCAGCUCCCUGGGAUCCCAGGCUCUCCAUGCCCGGCCCAGUCUGCGACCAAUGCCUGGGCUAGGCCUGGCUGGUGUCUCCUUGCCCUCUAGGCCUUUGCCUCUUCCUCCAGGGAGUCCUCCCUAAUGCCCUUCCCAGACUGAGUCCGUCUGUGCUGCAUGUGUCAUGUCUGUGAAACGUAGAGGACAUAUGGCUCCUCCAGUAGGGGCACAGGAGUCUGGGAGGGAACCAGUGGGAGGCUGGCAAGAGGAAGCAAGGAGAAGCCAGCACAGAUGCCUGAGCAACUGACUGAAGCCUUGUCAUCUCUGACCUUGGAAGUCAGGCCCUCACUCGGUUACCUGAUCUCACGGCUCAAUUUGCAACCGGAAGCACAUCAUCGGCUCAAACGAACGUUGGUUGAAUGAACGAACUGGAGGAAAAGAACCGGGGAGGCAGAGGGGGUCUGAAAACCCCGGGUCGGGUCUGCAUCCUGCUGUGUAAAAUGAGCUCACACGCGCACUGCAGGAGAUUCCAACAGCCUGGCCUGGGGUUUCCUCUUCCAUCAGGGCUCAGCUGAGCCACCGCCUGCCCCAGGAAGCCUUCUCUCAACCCCACAGUUCGCUGGGGGUGGGGGCAGGGGCACCGUGCAUAAGCUCGUUGUUGGGGGAGUAAUGGACCAAGUCCAGAAAGUUCCAUUGCAAGAUGAUGAGAGUCAGGGAGGCAGGGUGGCCUCAUGGGCUUUGCCAUUUUCUUUUUCUUACCUUGUUAAAUUAAAAGCAAUUUUCAAAAAAGUGAAAAGAAAAUUCUCUCCCAAUAAAAGGAUCUACCAGCUGGAGUUAGGAUCCUUCCUAGGAGAGUAUCAGUAUUUUCUCUGUUCUAGGGGGAGCGCUGGAAUAUAUCCUGGGGCAGACUCUCCUUUUGUUCUGGAGGAAGCCACUUCUGUGAGCCGGUUUGGUUUGAGGUCUAUAAGAUUCUUCAUUGUUGUGGGGAGAAGUCCCAAGGAAAGCCCCAAACCAAUGAAGUGAUCCUACUGCAGAUGUUUCAGAGGGAGGUGUUGAGGGCUUUUCUUAGCGUUGUACCUUGACGUGUCUUCUUGACAGGACUAAGCCUCUGCAGGAUCAGAGCCACCAUGGAGCAGCAUGGAGACUGGGCCCUACCCAUGGCCAGGGGCAGAGAAAUCAGCCAGCUCUGCUCACCGGUCCGUGAGGUGCUAGUCUUCCCAGAGAAAGGGCAGCUUUUUCUAAUUUUCACGAUGUGCCAUAGAGACUAGAGUUUCUGAGAGACAGUAUACAACCCCUGAGAUCAUGCCAAGAAGGACCUAGGGAUCUGAUCUGAUCUCUACCAUUUACCAGAGGAAAGACUAUGAAGAGGAAGUAAACUGAGUUUGGUUUAGAAGCGCUGGCUCCUUGAUUUUGUUGCCCAGACGUGGUAUUAAGCCUGAAUAACCCAGCCUGCAGGAAAUGUGUUGUCAGCUGUUGAGAGUGUCUUGUCUGAGCAAUGGAGGAGGGAGAUGGAGUGGGCAGACGGCAUGCUACAUGGAGGGUGGGAGUGCUCCUAAGCCGAUGGGUGCUCCCACUGCGAAUCAGCCUGGGAUAGGAAAAGAAGCAGGUCCAGGAAGGCGAAAGGGCUCUCUGGAGCCAGAGAAGUUGAGCCUGGAUUUCGGGUAGGAGGACACCAGUAAAGAUCCUUGCAAGAUGGCAGCUGUCUGAGGAUCAAGGAGAAAGAAGACCAAUAGGGGAUGACCUAUAGGAGGGUGUGGAUUAGGCACCUAGGAAGAGUGAUAGCUGGAUAUUUUUUGACCACGUUACAGUGCAUUCAGCAAUCUCCAAGCCUUCAGUGAAGUUUAUUUAGCUAUGCUUUGGAGAAAUAAAGAGGAUGCCUGGACCUGCACAUAGGGUGCAGGUGUAAGGGCAAAGCUCAUGCAGCCUGGACAAACCGUUAUGUGAGAGGGGAGCGGCAGUUGGAGAACAAUGACUAGCUAGAGGGACGAAUGCAGGGGAACCAUCUUUGUGCGACAGAUGAGCAUUCUUUGAGGACUAUCAGAAACAUUUGGCGAGAGCAACCAGAAAACCAGGACUUCAUGCAGUUGUUCAGGUCAGGAGCUUGGAUGAAGUUAGUUGGUGUUAAAGGAAAGGGUGACUCUGGAAGGCUAGAGGUGGUGGGGACAUGUGAGAUCCCCAGGGGAGAACGAAUGGCUAGAAGGGAAGGGAAUGUGGCAUUGCUGACUCCAAAGUGCCACAACACAUUUUUCUUUUAGCUCUCAAAGUGAAAAGCUGACAGUUCCAUUCCUAUAAGGGGAAGGCAUUUUGCUAGAUGGAAUCUCAUUUUCAUUUCCUCUCUGUUGUCACUGAAACACUGAUUACUUAUAAACAUUUCUGCAAGAAGAAUUCAGAUUCAGAUUCUUUGUUUAAGAAUUACAUAAUUUUUAAAUUAAAUACAUUCUUCCAGUACUCAUUCAAAGACAGAAAAACAAAUCAGAUUUUAUGUGUUUGCCUCUAUCACUCUUUCGAUAUUAACUAGUUACCUGGCUGUUUUUCUGUCUCUCAGUCAUCUUAACUCAAAUGCCUGCAAAAAGCCAAUACUGCUUAGUGUUAAAAUAAAACAAAAAGCCCACUUCAGAAAAUUGCAUAUUAUUUUAUUUUAUAUAAAAAUGCAUAUUACUUCCAGAUGGUCAAGUCUAACCUAACCAGAAAAAGGCUUAUUAAAAUAAUGCAUAAAAUCUGAGGAAAACAAAUAAGACUUAAAAGCAAAAAGAACAGUUAUUAGAAUUACAGAUGCAUAAUUUUCCUGGAAUGCUAGUGAUCUGAAGUAAUCUAAGGAAAUGUUUACUUUGGUCUACUUGCAACUUAAUAUUACUCUAUGUUGAUUUGAAGUGUUGACACUGAACCAAUAAAAUAAACGUCUGUAAUGAAGUCAUAGAUGUAAAUUCCCACUGCAAUUGAACAACACGCAGAGAAUUCCACUCUAAAACACCACUGCCA
RNAcentral lists this long non-coding RNA (4116 nucleotides) under Equus asinus (donkey). RNAcentral's name for it is "lncRNA (ENSEASG00005030202.1)". Lineage: Eukaryota; Metazoa; Chordata; Mammalia; Perissodactyla; Equidae. The record is from RNAcentral.